UCCACCAGAGGGCACUUUAUGAACCACAUAGACUGUUGGUGUUCCUGGCAUAGAAGGGAUUGGAUGUCAGGUAGAGGACACACUCGUGAAAUCGAUUUGUUGUUGUUUAUCUGGAAACUUUGGAUACGAUGAACAUUUUGAGAAAAACUCAAUGGUUAACGUGACUUUGUAGUUCAUCAGGAUUUUCUUUUUUUAUCGAAAUAGGGAAGUUAACUAUCGCCACCGGGAAUGGUGAAAUGUUUUCCAUAAGGAGGAGACAAUCCAGGAUACAAGACGGCUUCCCUCACAAAUAUCCGCACCAACAACAACAACACUGACUAUUCAGCGAACGGGACUUCAGGAAUGGCCAAUAAUGUGCCAUGGUUCAGCCUCUUGACAAUGGUCACUAUUUCUGCUACCCUAUCCUUCAUGGCUGACGCUCAAGACUGUUUCGGAGGCAUUGAAACGUUCGAAAAGAUGGUUUCCAUGAGCUUCAGCGGUGUUGUUUCCUACAAGUCUAUGUUGCAGCAACCGGGUCAAGCUAUUACAAGGGACUGCAUCAACCUCUGCAAGCAGCAGGCAGCCUGUCUCUCAUUUUCACUCAACUACACUUCAUCAUCCUGCAUCUCUUACAACGUCAAUUCAGUUGGAAGGGGUGGAGACAUUCAUUACUCAAAAGCGGUCAACUUUUACGAAAAAAUUUGCUUCA
This is a non-coding RNA of Parasteatoda tepidariorum (common house spider), 688 nucleotides long. The record is from RefSeq and is a predicted model, not a curated record. NCBI's taxonomy places the organism in Eukaryota, Metazoa, Arthropoda, Arachnida, Araneae, Theridiidae.